This 465-nucleotide ribosomal RNA is filed under the name uncultured bacterium. RNAcentral describes it as "bacterial SSU rRNA". It matches the Rfam family "Bacterial small subunit ribosomal RNA", at positions 338 to 795 of the family's 1533-position model. The record is from RNAcentral.
CCUACGGGCGGCAGCAGUGGGGAAUAUUGGACCAUGGGGGGAACCCUGAUCCAGCCAUGCCGCGUGUGUGAAGAAGGCCUUCGGGUUGUAAAGCACUUUCAGCGGGGAGGAAGGCGGUGAGGUUAAUAACCUCACCGAUUGACGUUACCCGCAGAAGAAGCACCGGCUAACUCCGUGCCAGCAGCCGCGGUAAUACGGAGGGUGCAAGCGUUAAUCGGAAUUACUGGGCGUAAAGCGCACGCAGGCGGUCUGUCAAGUCGGAUGUGAAAUCCCCGGGCUCAACCUGGGAACUGCAUUCGAAACUGGCAGGCUAGAGUCUUGUAGAGGGGGGUAGAAUUCCAGGUGUAGCGGUGAAAUGCGUAGAGAUCUGGAGGAAUACCGGUGGCGAAGGCGGCCCCCUGGACAAAGACUGACGCUCAGGUGCGAAAGCGUGGGGAGCAAACAGGAUUAGAUACCCGUGUAGUC